This 399-nucleotide ribosomal RNA is filed under the name uncultured bacterium. RNAcentral's name for it is "bacterial SSU rRNA". It matches the Rfam family "Bacterial small subunit ribosomal RNA", at positions 356 to 773 of the family's 1533-position model. The record is from RNAcentral.
GGGGAAUUUUGCGCAAUGGGGGAAACCCUGACGCAGCGACGCCUCGUGAGUGAUGAAGUUCUUCGGGAUGUAAAGCUCUGUCGGCGGGGACGAUUAUGACGGUACCCGCAAAGGAAGCUCCGGCUAACUACGUGCCAGCAGCCGCGGUAAUACGUAGGGAGCGAGCGUUGUCCGGAUUUAUUGGGCGUAAAGCGUGCGUAGGUGGUUGAAUAAGUUAGAUGUUAAAGGCAUGGGCUUAACUCAUGUUUGCGUCUAAAACUGUUUGACUGGAGGACGGGAGAGGAAAGCGGAACUCACAGUGUAGCGGUGAAAUGCGUAGAUAUUGUGAGGAACACCAGUGGCGAAGGCGGCUUUCUGGACCGUUUCUGACGCUGAGGCACGAAAGCAUGGGGAGCAAAC